CCUACGGGAGGCAGCAGUGGGGAAUAUUGGGCAAUGGAGGCAACUCUGACCCAGCAACGCCGCGUGAAUGAUGAAGGUCUUCGGAUUGUAAAGUUCUGUGUUGGGGGAUGAACACAAUGACGGUACCCCCAUAUCAAGCCACGGCUAAUUACGUGCCAGGAGCCGCGGUAAUACGUAGGUGGCAAGCGUUAUCCGGAUGGGUUGGGCGUAAAGGGUGCGUAGGUGGUUUCGUAAGUUGGCCGGGAAAUUCCGGGGCUCAACCGCGGCCCUGCAGCCACAACUGGUGGACUAGAGGGCGGGGGGGGUAGGUGGAAUUCGUGGUGUAGCGGUGGAAUGCUUAGAUAUCAGGAAGAACUUCGGGGGCGAGGGC
Molecule: ribosomal RNA, 370 nt
Filed under: uncultured bacterium
Lineage: Bacteria
Description: partial 16S ribosomal RNA
Rfam family: Bacterial small subunit ribosomal RNA
Source: RNAcentral